RNAcentral lists this ribosomal RNA (497 nucleotides) under uncultured bacterium. RNAcentral describes it as "partial 16S ribosomal RNA". It matches the Rfam family "Bacterial small subunit ribosomal RNA", at positions 28 to 507 of the family's 1533-position model. The record is from RNAcentral.
GAUGAACGCUGGCGGCGUGCUUAAUACAUGCAAGUCGAGCGAACGGACGAGAAGCUUGCUUCUCUGAUGUUAGCCGCGCACGGGUGAGUCACACGUGUAUAACCUACCUAUCAUACUGGGAACACUUCGGGAAACCGGAGCUUAUACCGGAUAAUAUCCUGCACCGCAUGGUUCGAAAGUAAAAGACGGUGUUGCUGUCACUUAUAGAUGGUUCCGCGCUGCAUUAGCUAGUUGGUAAGGUAACGGCUUACCAAGGCAACGAUGCGUAGCCGACCUGAGAGGGUGAUAGGCCACACUGGAACUGAGACACGGACCAGACUCCUACGGGAGGCAGCAGUAGGGAAUCUUCCGCAAUGGGCGAAAGCCUGACGGAGCAGCGCCGCGUGAGUGAUGAAGGUGUUCGGAUCGUAAAACUCUGUUAUUAGGGAAGAACAUAUGUGUAAGUAACUGUGCACAUCUUGACGGUACCUAAUCAGAAAGCCACGGCUAACUACGUG